CUCGCUAGCUCAGAAACCCUAAGCGCCUGAGAAGAUGAAGUUCCACAUUGCAAAUCCAACCACUGGUUGCCAGAAGAAGCUCGAGAUCGUCGAUGACCAGAAACUACGUGCGUUUUUCGACAAGAGAGUCAAAAGACUCUCUAAGAAGUCAGUGGAGAUGCGUUGGGCGAGGACUUCAAGGGUUACGUUCUCAAGAUCAUGGGUGGUUGUGAUAAGCAAGGUUUCCCAAUGAAGCAGGGAGUUUUGACUCAGAAAGAAAAUUCACAGUUCUGAACUAUAUAAACCCUUUUUAGAUUUUAUAAUAUAUAUAGUAACGUGGAAACGCAAAAUACAAACAAACGAAAUAUUUUGCUUU
This is a long non-coding RNA of Camelina sativa (false flax), 355 nucleotides long. RefSeq lists it as uncharacterized. The record is from RefSeq and is a predicted model, not a curated record. Lineage: Eukaryota; Viridiplantae; Streptophyta; Magnoliopsida; Brassicales; Brassicaceae.